Molecule: ribosomal RNA, 440 nt
Filed under: uncultured bacterium
Lineage: Bacteria
Description: partial 16S ribosomal RNA
Rfam family: Bacterial small subunit ribosomal RNA
Source: RNAcentral
CCUACGGGUGGCUGCAGUGGGGGAUAUUGCACAAUGGGGGGAACCCUGAUGCAGCGACGCCGCGUGGGUGAAGGAGCGUUUCGGCGCGUAAAGCCCCAUCGGCAGGGAAGAAGGAGGACGGUACCUGACUAAGAAGCCCCGGCUAACUACGUGCCAGCAGCCGCGGUACUAGGGAGGAUGCGAGCGUUAUCCGGAUUCAUUGGGUUUAAAGGGUGCGCAGGCGGGCCUUUAAGCCGGCGGUGAAAUCGCGGGGCUCAACCCCGCCGAGCCGGCGGAACUGGGGGCCUUGAGUGCGGCGGAGGCAUGCGGAAUGCGCGGUGUAGCGGUGAAAUGCAUAGAUAUCGCGCAGAACCCCGAUUGCGAAGGCAGCGUGCCGUGCCGCCACUGACGCUGAGGCACGAAAGCGCGGGGAUCGAACAGGAUUAGAUACCCCAGUAGUC